AUGGCAAGUCACUCUAGUCUCUUUGUCAAGAAAACGCCAUGGGCAAGAACAUGACGUCAUAAAGAGUCAGUCAUGACUGAACAACUGAACAACAAUAACAAGAGUUUAAUGAGUAGGGAGUACUCAGUAGGAGACACAGACCUGCAGUAGGAAUAUGUUUCGCAGCUGAGUGAAGGAUGGACUGAAAUGAGGACAAAUGUGGCAAGAAGAUCAACCAGCAGGUUUUUGCACUUGUGCAGGAAUGAGGUGAUUGUGGCAGUGUCAAAGGAGAGAAAGAGGAACUGAUAUUUCUAAAAGUGAGGCACAGUAGGAAAAAAAAAAAGGUUCCAAGAGGCAAGAUCUACAGAUAACACAGAAAGUGUUUAGAAGAAGGAACCCAAAAUUGACAACUUAGGAAUGGAGACUAAAGAAGGACUAAGGUCUGUCUCAUCUGGCCAAGUCAACAUGUCAUCAGUGCAAUGGUGGACACCAAUACCCUCAGGAGAAGACUGUUUCAGAUCUCUGCCUACUGGAAAGUGGUAAUAUAAAGGACAGUUUAGGUAGUUAUGAGGAAGGAUGGUGAAGGCAUAUUGGACUCUUUCCCAGGUGAAAACCAACUGUUUCUGACUAGUCUUAGCCACAGCAAUACUGAAAAAAAAAAAGGGUUGGGAAGGUUGAUAACAUUCUACCACUCAUCCUGGACCUAAGCUACUUGAUGCAAUACAUUGAUGUGGUCUGGAACAGCUGUAGUAAUGGGAAUGACAACUUGUUUAGCUGUUGUCUACUGUAAGUCACCAGGUGCCAUCUGCCUUCCUCAUCAGCCCUAAAGGGACUUUAGUAAAGCAAAAUAAUCUACCUGAUCUCCACCAUUAGAAAGGAAAUCUCUUUGACCUGACCCCAAUACCACCUGAUAGCAUUUCGUGCUAAUGAUGGAAUGGUUUGAGCAACUGCAAGGGUUUCAGUUUUGCACUACCCACAAUAACCGAAAAGGCCAGUACAGGUUCCUUUUCCUUUGGUCAUUUUUCCAUCGUGUCCAACACUUUGUGACUCCAUUUGGAGUUUUCUUGGUAAAGAUACUGCCAUUUCCUUCUCC
Phascolarctos cinereus (koala) is the source of this 1072-nucleotide long non-coding RNA. RefSeq lists it as uncharacterized. Lineage: Eukaryota; Metazoa; Chordata; Mammalia; Diprotodontia; Phascolarctidae. The record is from RefSeq and is a predicted model, not a curated record.